RNAcentral lists this ribosomal RNA (499 nucleotides) under uncultured bacterium. RNAcentral's name for it is "bacterial SSU rRNA". It matches the Rfam family "Bacterial small subunit ribosomal RNA", at positions 28 to 525 of the family's 1533-position model. The record is from RNAcentral.
GAUGAACGCUAGCGGCAGGCCUAAUACAUGCAAGUCGAACGGUAACAGGUCUUCGGAUGCUGACGAGUGGCGCACGGGUGAGUAACGCGUACGCAAUCUACCUUUAUCUGGGGGAUACACAUUGGAAACGGUGAAUAAUCCCGCAUACGAUCUGUGAGUGGCAUCACUUAUAGAUGAAAGUUUCGGCGGAUAAAGAUGAGCGUGCGUCUGAUUAGCUAGUUGGUAGGGUAACGGCCUACCAAGGCGACGAUCAGUAGGGGGCGUGAGAGCGUGGCCCCCCACACGGGUACUGAGACACGGACCCGACUCCUACGGGAGGCAGCAGUAAGGAAUAUUGGUCAAUGGGCGGAAGCCUGAACCAGCCAUGCCGCGUGCGGGAUGAAGGCCCUCUGGGUUGUAAACCGCUUUUAUCAGGGAAGAAUGACAGGGAUUUAUCCUUGGAGAGACGGUACCUGAGGAAUAAGCACCGGCUAACUCCGUGCCAGCAGCCGCGGUAAAG